Zonotrichia leucophrys gambelii is the source of this 478-nucleotide long non-coding RNA. RefSeq lists it as uncharacterized. The transcript has 3 exons. NCBI's taxonomy places the organism in Eukaryota, Metazoa, Chordata, Aves, Passeriformes, Passerellidae. The record is from RefSeq and is a predicted model, not a curated record.
CACGGGUGCAAUGCAUCAACAUGAGGGGUAUCAAAGGUUGGGCUAAACAACAGGAAGAGUCAAUGCUUGCAGCCUUUGGAAGUGAUGUGAGGGUGCUCUGUAUGGGCAGGUCCCUGAAGCCUUCUGAAGUGGUGACAACAGGUCAAAUAUGGAACAACAGCAUUGCAAAAUGACAAACCAUGGCAGUACACAACUCCAGUGAUUUUUCCCUUUGAAAGAAUAUGGUCAAAAGAGAUGGACUGGCUACAUGGCCUAGAAGGCCAGCACCUAAUGAUUGCAAUCAAAUAUUUUUGAGGCCCCCAGGAAAGCAAGUGAUUGAUGAAAAGCAGUGUCUGCAAGGAUGAAAGGAAGUCCUAGGGCUUCAGCAGGAGAAAGAAACCUCUUUAGCAUAUCAACUACAUCUUGUUAAUUACAAUCCUUAAAAAAUACAUGUGUCAAUGUGUGCAAAUUCUCAAGGAACAAUAACACAUAAAGCAUG